AAACAAAACAUGAUCGAAGCGGCCAGAUGUGCGAACGUCGUUUUAGUGUUGCAUUACAACUAAGCGCCUUAGAAAAACGUCUUGGAAAGUAAAGUUAUACGUAAAACAAUUCAUUGUAUAAAAAUGUCUCACUUUCGCUAUAAAAAAAUUGAGGGAAUAAGCUUAAACGCCGGUUGAUGAUCGGGAUUGGAUAAUGGCACAGCUGUGUACCAAAAAAGAUCUGUUAGCAGGUAAAUAUAGAUUUCCAACCAAAAUGGUUUCAACUUGGCCCAAUGCAGGAGCCUCAAAGGUAUUUGAUUAGUCUACAAAGAAAAUGAAUUAAUGUCUGCUUCUUAAAUCUUUUGGAAGUUGUAAACAGUGGAAUUCUGCUCAUCGUUUGACUUAAAUUCAAGUCUACUAAGGUGUCAUAACUGAAAUGAAGCUUGAAAGCUACAGACGGUGGAAUGCUGACCUGUUAUCUGCAGUUAAUAAUCCAUCUGCUGCAUCUUAAAAUUGGUUAAGAUCAUGUAAAUGAAAAAAAAGCUAUAUCAAAAAUUUUAAAAAGAAAAUAUGCUAGGAACUCUUGAAAAAGUAUUCUUGGUGAAAAAGUGGAAAUUCUUGGAGAUAGCAACACUUAUCUGUGGAUAAAUUAGGCAAUACAGUUAAUGAGAAUUUAUCUAAGAAGAAACAAACAAUCAAGGAGGCAAGUUGAAUGAUGCUGGCAAUUCUUUCUAUAACGACAACUUACUGCCUCGUAUGGAGAUGAGUGAAAAAUAUCUGUUACGAAAAUAACGAACGCGUUACGACCUAAAAUGCUUUUCUUCUUAACAUUUGGUUAACCUGAACGUAAAUUCAAAUUUUGGCAAAAUUAAAGUAAAUGGCCAAUCAUCUUGCUGAUGAAAUUUUCCUAUCUUGGGAGUUAAAACUGGUUAUUAAGGAAGUUGGAUACGAUGCCAUAGCUGACGUCAUGAUAAAGGGAAUAUGUCAAAAAGCAAUUUAGAUACGAUGCCGAAGCAAACGUCAUGGCAACAGGGAGGAUUUGAAAAGCAAGUCUGUCAGCUAAAAGAUGGCUUUGAAAUCCUUAGCUUCUGAACAAUUUACACUAUAAAAUUUUUCUUUAUAUUUGUUUACAAGUUUUAAACAUAUUUACACAAGAGCGUGUAGAGCAACCGAAAAUUUUGAUCGCUAUGGGAAAUCAUCCAUUUAAAGCGUUCUUCUUACACGUUGACCAAACUUCCCCGUGGAAAAUAUUGAUCCAAUAACGCUAUUGCCGUUGGUGGCUUGAUCGAUUUCUGUGUGGAAGACUCGGUGGUGACUAUUGUACAAGAUUUUAUAAUCGUAAUGAAUCGGCAGAGAAUAUUGAUGGAGGUCACGUGUAAACAGAGACUGAAAUUCGUUGGAGGGGGAUUGCGAUUCUUUUAUUUUCUCACGUGUAUGGUAUUUUUACAAAAAAGAAAUUAAGUGCAUAUCUGGGCUCCCUUCUUUUCUGUCGCCCCGUUUCCCCUUGAAUUGUAAUAAGCCCGUAGGGGGUCAUGCCCCUACUGUGAUCAGCAGUAAAGGUUGUGAGUGCGCUGUCCGGAAAGGGGACGUGGGGGUCCUCAAGUUCUGAGAUAUCAUUGGAGGGCGAAGAGGCUACCCACAAAUCCGAAUUAACGGUUAAUCGCUCACGUAAAAACUUGUCCGAAACCUUCCAUCCUUUUCCGGCUUCUCUUAGCCACGCCCCGGGUAAUCUCCCCGGGGGCUCAAUUCAGUUAAAUUUGUUGUACAUGUAUGUUGUACCAACAAUAAAAAAAAUGGAAAAAAAAAAUAAACAAUAUUUUAUUUUUGCCAAAA
RNAcentral lists this long non-coding RNA (1812 nucleotides) under Daphnia magna. RNAcentral describes it as "uncharacterized LOC123477032, transcript variant X29". Lineage: Eukaryota; Metazoa; Arthropoda; Branchiopoda; Diplostraca; Daphniidae. The record is from RNAcentral.